UACGUAGGUGGCGAGCGUUGUCCGGAUUUACUGGGCGUAAAGCGCGCGCAGGCGGCUCGCCAAGUCUGGGGUGAAAUCUCCCGGCUCAACCGGGAGAAGUCUCCGGAGACUGGCGGACUUGAGGAGAGCAGAGGAGAGUGGAAUUCCCGGUGUAGCGGUGAUAUGCGUAGAUAUCGGGAGGAACACCAGUGGCGAAGGCGGCUCUCUGGGCUCUUCCUGACGCUGAGGCGCGAAAGCGUGGGGAGCAAACCGG
RNAcentral lists this ribosomal RNA (253 nucleotides) under uncultured bacterium. RNAcentral describes it as "partial 16S ribosomal RNA". It matches the Rfam family "Bacterial small subunit ribosomal RNA", at positions 524 to 776 of the family's 1533-position model. The record is from RNAcentral.